GUUUACUAAAAGCUCGGUGUCGAUUUUUUAUUCGUUUGAUUUUUGCUGAAAGAUUGAAGCGUAUGAAUUAUUCAACUUAUUUUAAAAUGCGUUUUAUUAAUAGAAACGUAAUAUUAUUUUUAUUUUUCAUCGCAGGAUGCAUUUAUAUUGAAGCAGCACCUGGUAGAGCAAAACGUCAACUAGGCCAGCCAUCUCUAACGUCAAUGACAGAAUCAGCUCUGAGUUCUUCAACAAAGUAUAUGGUUGAUAUGUGCAAAGCAUCUUGGAAAAUGUUCGUUGAUAGUAUGAGGUACUUCAUCCCGAAAUAUUAAACUACAAAUAUCGGCUCAAUAAUGCAUAAUCAAAAUUGUGAUAUUCUUGAACACAAAAAAAUCUCGAAAAUAUGUUUAAUUAAUCCAAAACUUUGAAUUCACUAAACAGUUUUGUUGUAACAGCUAAUUAAAAUAUUGGUUGUAUUAUGUGAAUAAAAAUUUAUUCUCCAGAGA
Molecule: long non-coding RNA, 485 nt
Organism: Chelonus insularis
Lineage: Eukaryota; Metazoa; Arthropoda; Insecta; Hymenoptera; Braconidae
Exons: 2
Source: RefSeq, a predicted model, not a curated record